GUCCACGCCGUAAACGAUGGAUACUAGGUGUGGGGGACUGACCCCCUCCGUGCCGCAGCUAACGCAAUAAGUAUCCCACCUGGGGAGUACGAUCGCAAGGUUGAAACUCAAAGGAAUUGACGGGGGCCCGCACAAGCGGUGGAGUAUGUGGUUUAAUUCGAAGCAACGCGAAGAACCUUACCAGGGCUUGACAUCCUACUAACGAGGUAGAGAUACGUUAGGUGCCCUUCGGGGAAAGUAGAGACAGGUGGUGCAUGGUUGUCGU
Molecule: ribosomal RNA, 265 nt
Filed under: uncultured bacterium
Lineage: Bacteria
Description: partial 16S ribosomal RNA
Rfam family: Bacterial small subunit ribosomal RNA
Source: RNAcentral